This 251-nucleotide ribosomal RNA is filed under the name uncultured prokaryote. Its description in RNAcentral is "partial 16S rRNA". It matches the Rfam family "Bacterial small subunit ribosomal RNA", at positions 525 to 775 of the family's 1533-position model. The record is from RNAcentral.
ACGGAGGGUGCGAGCGUUAAUCGGAAUCACUGGGCGUAAAGCGCACGUAGGCGAUGUCGUAAGUCGGAUGUGAAAGCCCUCGGCUCAACCGGGGUACUGCAUUCGAUACUGCGACGAUUGAGUGCCGGAGAGGGCGGCGGAAUUACAGGUGUCGAAUAGACAUCCGGACAUAUAGGGAGGGACACCAGUGCCGAAGGCGGCUGCCUGCCCGGCUACUGACGCUGAGGGGCGUAAGCGCAGUGAAAAAACAG